AUUGAACGCUGGCGGCAUGCCUUACACAUGCAAGUCGAACGGCAGCGGACCUUCGGGUGCCGGCGAGUGGCGAACGGGUGAGUAAUGCAUCGGAACGUACCUUUCAGUGGGGGAUAACGUGGCGAAAGUUACGCUAAUACCGCAUAUUCUGUGAGCAGGAAAGCAGGGGAUCGCAAGACCUUGCGCUGAUUGAGCGGCCGAUGUCAGAUUAGCUAGUUGGUGAGGUAAAGGCUCACCAAGGCGACGAUCUGUAGCGGGUCUGAGAGGAUGAUCCGCCACACUGGAACUGAGACACGGUCCAGACUCCUACGGGAGGCAGCAGUGGGGAAUUUUGGACAAUGGGGGCAACCCUGAUCCAGCCAUGCCGCGUGGGUGAAGAAGGCCUUCGGGUUGUAAAGCUCUUUCGGCCGGGAAGAAAUCGCACGGGCUAAUACCCUGUGUGGAUGACGGUACCGGAAUAAGAAGCACCGGCUAACUACGUGCCAGCAGCCGCCGCAG
Molecule: ribosomal RNA, 498 nt
Filed under: uncultured bacterium
Lineage: Bacteria
Description: partial 16S ribosomal RNA
Rfam family: Bacterial small subunit ribosomal RNA
Source: RNAcentral